AUUUUUUUGCAAUUAUCACCUAUAAAUACAUACUUAUUGCCCAUUUAUUGGCCAGAUAACACUUUUGGUUAGUUUUUGGCUCACGAAGAAGAAGAUCAAGAACAACCUACAAAACCCAUAGCUUUGCCCUCAAAACCCAGUUCUUCCUCUUCCUCUCUGUUUUAUUCUCUACCCAAAUCCAAUUAAAAGGGUGACAUUUUGAGCUAUUUCCCUAUAAUGGAAUCGUGCAAAGCCCCCAAAUCCACCCCCUUUUGACUUAAAACAACAAAUCCACAAACCCUAACCAGUGAGAAAGGGAGCUAUUUCAAUGGCGAUACAGACCUCGAGCCCGAGCAAAAGACAUGCUUUAGGCGAAACGACUCAAAGCACUUCUUUGUUUGGAGGGAGUUUCUGUGUGGAGCUAAUUCUGGGGCAUUUGGAGAAGGAAUAAUGCGUCCAGUUGUCUCUGUAAAGAUAAGUUUUUGUUGGGAGCUAUUUUCAGGGCAUUUGGGGACCUGUAAAGACAUGUAUUCAGAGCCAAGCUUAUCUUUGUGCAAUUCAGGUUAUGUUCUAUCUGAAGGCUUGAAAGAUUGAAUAGAAUAUGGGAAGCAAAAUUACAUGCAAUCCAAAUUUCCAUAGUGGUGGUAUGUUUGAGGGACGCUUACAAGAAGGUUUGUCUAGUGGUGGUAUGUCUUUAAGUCUUGUAUAAUUGAAUUCAGUAUUUUUUGUAGGGUGAUAUAUACUUGCCUUGAUUCAUUGAUGGAUUAUGGAAGUUAGACAUGAUAGCAAAAUGGCCUAACAUUUAGUAGUUUUUUGUAAGGCCUAACAUUUACGUCGAAAAUUUUCUAUGGUUCAUUGGAUGGAUUAUGGAAGUUAGACGUUAUAGCAAAAGGGUUUAUCAGUUUCCAUCUAAUGUUUUUGUUAAUUUAGUACAAGGGUGGUUGGAUGCACAUCUCAGAGGUAGCAAAUCCAGUUUUAGCUCUUACAUUAAUGGCAGCACUGCGAAUUUCCAAGAAGGAUUGAGCAUGUCAGUAGAUAAAAGGGAUUUUACCUUUACAAAGGAGCUGCAUGAGAAACUCGCACUAAAUUUCUUUCCCAUCCGAUCUUGUUUGCAGAUUGGGGAAUGUUUAUGUAUCCAAUUAAAUAAUUUGGACAAGAUUUUAAUGAUGUUUUCAUGUAAUGUGUGUGUAUGUAUGUUUUUAAGACAAAGGAAAUUUAGUACAUAUGCGGAUAAUUUAAUGCCUGGUAUUGUUUUGGAACCAUAAUCAUUGUCAAUCUCAUUGUCUCUUUAAAAGAUUGCUGUGAAAUUGUUACUUCAUUUUCUUCUUUCCUUUGUUUUAAGAUAUUUUUGUUUGGAGAAAAAGAACUCUGUUUUUGUAAUCUAAAAGACUAGGUAUUUAUGUCCCACAUCUUGGGACUAAUUGAAUGUGCUUUUUGAUAUUGAAAGGAAGCUAGCAGCAUCUUUGGUUGAAAAAAUGAAGGUGUUAAUGCUGAAGUAAUUUCUACUUGAUUUCAAUUUGCCUAUAAAACUUGUUGACUGGUGCUCAACAAGUUGGGUUUUUGUAGCUUGAAUUGCCAUAUAAUUUAGGUUUGCUUUUUGCAUGUGAGUGUUUUAAUGGAUUGGAUCUUCUACCUGUAUGUUUGUCAAAUCUCAAUCAUGUUUCUGAGAUGAGUUGUGCAGUAGUGUUGGUUGAAAUUAAUAUGUUAUUUAUUCAUUGAAAGCAUAUUGUUUCUCGACGGUGAGUAUUUGACCAAACUAUAAUUUGCUGUAGUUUUGUCUUGACAAUUUAUGUUUCUUUCUCUUUUUCUUUUCAAGUUGUAUAAGGAGAAGAAAAGCCGCACCCAACUCGUUUCCCUGUGAAGAACAAAUUUGAGGUUAACAGUUACAAAAUGUGUUUUAGCUGGUUUGUGCAGACACUGAUGUGCAAGUCAUACACUAGCGUUGGAGACCAUUUUGUGCAUAAUUUAAUGUGUAGACAAGGAGUUCUUUGAGAUGCCUUCUGAAGACAAAAGCAAAGCUUCUAUUAUGAGAAUGCUAAGCAAACUUGCAGCAAACUGUACACAUAAUUGAUUAUGCUUGUUAUUAUUAGUAAGGACAUCUAAGACAUUAUGUAUUCUUCUUGUGGAGCCGUAUGUUUCUAAUAUUUGUGUAAUGUACUUCAUACUGUUUUUGAGGUCAUUAUUAUAAUGAUAUGAAAUUUUCAUACAUGGUUAUUAUUUUUUAUGUACUAUUUAUUAUCUGUAGGAACUGAAUAUUGUAAUAGUUCAACAAUUAGAACAUUAUAUAAUAUGGGAAAGAGAGUACAAAGACAU
This is a long non-coding RNA of Prunus persica (peach), 2292 nucleotides long. RefSeq lists it as uncharacterized. Lineage: Eukaryota; Viridiplantae; Streptophyta; Magnoliopsida; Rosales; Rosaceae. The transcript is spliced from 3 exons. The record is from RefSeq and is a predicted model, not a curated record.